This 522-nucleotide ribosomal RNA is filed under the name uncultured bacterium. RNAcentral's name for it is "bacterial SSU rRNA". It matches the Rfam family "Bacterial small subunit ribosomal RNA", at positions 777 to 1297 of the family's 1533-position model. The record is from RNAcentral.
AAUAGAUACCCGGGUAGUCCACGCCGUAAACGAUGAGUGCUAAGUGUUAGAGGGUUUCCGCCCUUUAGUGCUGCAGCUAACGCAUUAAGCACUCCGCCUGGGGAGUACGGUCGCAAGACUGAAACUCAAAGGAAUUGACGGGGGCCCGCACAAGCGGUGGAGCAUGUGGUUUAAUUCGAAGCAACGCGAAGAACCUUACCAGGUCUUGACAUCCUCUGACAACUCUAGAGAUAGAGCGUUCCCCUUCGGGGGACAGAGUGACAGGUGGUGCAUAGUUGUCGUCAGCUCGUGUCGUGAGAUGUUGGGUUAAGUCCCGCAACGAGCGCAACCCUUGAUCUUAGUUGCCAGCAUUUAGUUGGGCACUCUAAGGUGACUGCCGGUGACAAACCGGAGGAAGGUGGGGAUGACGUCAAAUCAUCAUGCCCCUUAUGGCCUGGGCUACACACGUGCUACAAUGGAUGGUACAAAGGGCUGCAAGACCGCGAGGUCAAGCCAAUCCCAUAAAACCAUUCUCAGUUCGGA